CUAAUACAUGCAAGUCGAGCGGACAGAAGGGAGCUUGCUCCCGGAUGUUAGCGGCGGACGGGUGAGUAACACGUGGGUAACCUGCCUGUAAGACUGGGAUAACUCCGGGAAACCGGAGCUAAUACCGGAUAGUUCCUUGAACCGCAUGGUUCAAGGAUGAAAGACGGUUUCGGCUGUCACUUACAGAUGGACCCGCGGCGCAUUAGCUAGUUGGUGGGGUAAUGGCUCACCAAGGCGACGAUGCGUAGCCGACCUGAGAGGGUGAUCGGCCACACUGGGACUGAGACACGGCCCAGACUCCUACGGGAGGCAGCAGUAGGGAAUCUUCCGCAAUGGACGAAAGUCUGACGGAGCAACGCCGCGUGAGUGAUGAAGGUUUUCGGAUCGUAAAGCUCUGUUGUUAGGGAAGAACAAGUGCGAGAGUAACUGCUCGCACCUUGACGGUACCUAACCAGAAAGCCACGGCUAACUACGUGCCAGCAGCCGCGGUAAUACGUAGGUGGCAAGCGUUGUCCGGAAUUAUUGGGCGUAAAGGGCUCGCAGGCGGUUUCUUAAGUCUGAUGUGAAAGCCCCCGGCUCAACCGGGGAGGGUCAUUGGAAACUGGGAAACUUGAGUGCAGAAGAGGAGAGUGGAAUUCCACGUGUAGCGGUGAAAUGCGUAGAGAUGUGGAGGAACACCAGUGGCGAAGGCGACUCUCUGGUCUGUAACUGACGCUGAGGAGCGAAAGCGUGGGGAGCGAACAGGAUUAGAUACCCUGGUAGUCCACGCCGUAAACGAUGAGUGCUAAGUGUUAGGGGGUUUCCGCCCCUUAGUGCUGCAGCUAACGCAUUAAGCACUCCGCCUGGGGAGUACGGUCGCAAGACUGAAACUCAAAGGAAUUGACGGGGGCCCGCACAAGCGGUGGAGCAUGUGGUUUAAUUCGAAGCAACGCGAAGAACCUUACCAGGUCUUGACAUCCUCUGACAACCCUAGAGAUAGGGCUUUCCCUUCGGGGACAGAGUGACAGGUGGUGCAUGGUUGUCGUCAGCUCGUGUCGUGAGAUGUUGGGUUAAGUCCCGCAACGAGCGCAACC
Molecule: ribosomal RNA, 1073 nt
Filed under: Bacillus zhangzhouensis
Lineage: Bacteria; Bacillati; Bacillota; Bacilli; Caryophanales; Bacillaceae
Description: bacterial SSU rRNA
Rfam family: Bacterial small subunit ribosomal RNA
Source: RNAcentral